CUUACUUUGCAUUAUUAAGGUGAAACAAUUCAUUUCUUAAUAGGGAAUCAGGUGCAAACCCUGAACAGUCCCCGCUGCUGUAACUCUCACUUUUGAUUUGGUACAAUGAGCCACUGUUUAACGAAACGGGAAGGCGUACCAAAUGAGAGAAGUCAGAAGACCUGCCUUAAUGCUCAUUUUAAU
This 183-nucleotide non-coding RNA is filed under the name marine bacterium AO1-C. The record is from RNAcentral. Lineage: Bacteria; Pseudomonadati; Bacteroidota; Cytophagia; Cytophagales; Cytophagaceae. RNAcentral also lists the same sequence under 1 other name.